GUAACAAGGUUUCCGUAGGUGAACCUGCGGAAGGAUCAUUACAGUAGUCGCCCGGGUUGCCGCAAGGCCUCCCGGGUAACCUACCACCCUUUGUUUAUUACACUUUGUUGCUUUGGCAAGCCUGCCCUCGGGCUGCUGGCUCCGGCCGGCGAGCGCUUGCCAGAGGACCUAAACUCUGUUUGUCUAUACUGUCUGAGUACUAUAUAAUAGUUAAAACUUUCAACAACGGAUCUCUUGGUUCUGGCAUCGAUGAAGAACGCAGCGAAAUGCGAUAAGUAAUGUGAAUUGCAGAAUUCAGUGAAUCAUCGAAUCUUUGAACGCACAUUGCGCCCCCUGGUAUUCCGGGGGGCAUGCCUGUCCGAGCGUCAUUACAACCCUCAAGCUCAGCUUGGUGUUGGGCCCCGCCGCCCCGGCGGGCCCUAAAGUCAGUGGCGGUGCCGUCCGGCUCCGAGCGUAGUAAUUCUUCUCGCUCUGGAGGCCCGGUCGUGUGCUCGCCAGCAACCCCCAAUUUUUUUCAGGUUGACCUCGGAUCAGGUAGGGAUACCCGCUGAACUUAAGCAUAUCAAUAAGCGGAGGAAAAGAAACCAACAGGGAUUACCUCAGUAACGGCGAGUGAAGCGGUAACAGCUCAAAUUUGAAAUCUGGCCUCACGGUCCGAGUUGUAAUUUGUAGAGGAUGCUUCGAGCAUGGUCUGGCCUAAGUUCCUUGGAACAGGACGUCAUAGAGGGUGAGAAUCCCGUAUGCGGCCAGGUGCCUACGCUCAUGUGAAGCUCCUUCGACGAGUCGAGUUGUUUGGGAAUGCAGCUCAAAAUGGGUGGUAAAUUUCAUCUAAAGCUAAAUAUUGGCCAGAGACCGAUAGCGCACAAGUAGAGUGAUCGAAAGAUGAAAAGCACUUUGGAAAGAGAGUUAAACAGUACGUGAAAUUGUUGAAAGGGAAGCGCUUGCAACCAGACUUGCGCGCGGCCGAUCAUCCGGUGUUCUCACCGGUGCACUCGGCCGUGCUCAGGCCAGCAUCGGUUUUGGCGGCUGGAUAAAGGCCCUAGGAAUGUAGCUCCUCUCGGGGAGUGUUAUAGCCUAGGGUGCAAUGCAGCCUGCUGGGACCGAGGACCGCGCUUCGGCUAGGAU
RNAcentral lists this small RNA (1125 nucleotides) under Pseudogymnoascus sp. CCF 5030. RNAcentral's name for it is "eukaryotic LSU rRNA". The stretch from base 521 to 1125 matches the Rfam family "Eukaryotic large subunit ribosomal RNA", at positions 1 to 624 of the family's 3401-position model. The record is from RNAcentral. Lineage: Eukaryota; Fungi; Ascomycota; Leotiomycetes; Thelebolales; Thelebolaceae.